AGAGUUUGAUCCUGGCUCAGGACGAACGCUGGCGGCGUGCUUAAUACAUGCAAGUCAAGGAGAACGGAGUUCUUCGGAAUUCCUAGUAAACUGGCGAACGGGUGAGUAACACGUAGGCAACCUGCCUCUGGAUUGGGGAUAACUCUGCUAAAGCGGAGCUAAUACCGGAUGUUGUUUUUUUACUGCAUAGUAGAAAAAUGAAAGUUGACUUAUUUUAUAGGUUAGCGUCCAGAGAGGGGCCUGCGCCCCAUUAGUUUGUUGGUGAGGUAACGGCUCACCAAGACUGCGAUGGGUAGCCGGCCUGAGAGGGUGUACGGCCACACUGGGACUGAGAUACGGCCCAGACUCCUACGGGAGGCUGCAGUAAGGAAUAUUGCGCAAUGGCCGAAAGGCUGACGCAGCAACGCCGCGUGGGUGAUGAAGCUCCAAGGAGCGUAAAGCCCUGUUAGGAGGGAAGAACUACAAUGAUGUAAAUAAUGUCAUUGUUUGACGGUACCUCCAGAGAAAGCCCCGGCUAACUCCGUGCCAGCAGCCGCGGUAAUACGGGGGGGGCAAGCGUUGUCCGGAAUUAUUGGGCGUAAAGGGCGCGUAGGUGGAUUAGCAAGUCAGAGGUGAAAACCACAGGCUUAACUUGUGGCCUGCCUUUGAAACUGCUUUUCUUGAGUGCGGAAGAGGAAAGUGGAAUUCCUGGUGUAGCGGU
RNAcentral lists this ribosomal RNA (700 nucleotides) under uncultured bacterium. RNAcentral describes it as "bacterial SSU rRNA". It matches the Rfam family "Bacterial small subunit ribosomal RNA", at positions 8 to 682 of the family's 1533-position model. The record is from RNAcentral.